CCCUACUGCAUUGGUUUGGAGCGAUGUCCAACACGGAAGGCAUAACCCAAGCAAUUGGCAAGAAUAAUCCAUUACUUUAAUCACGAAUGGUGCAUAUAUAGCUUCUACUUUGAUUCGAAAUUAUCGAUCCUUUAAUUGGCACAUACAUUUCUCUGCACGCAUAACAAGUGAAGCAGAAAUGGCUAGCGAAGACGACGCCGACGACUCCGUUUCACCAACCGCGGGAGGUUUCCGGCUACGCUGGGACGUGUUCCUGAGCUUCAGAGGCGAAGACACCCGCUCAACGAUCACGAAGAAUAUCUACGAGGAGCUCGAGAAACGCAGCGUCCGAGUCUUCCGAGACGACGAAGGUUUGAACCGCGGGGACGAGAUCGCCUCUGGUCUGCUGGAGGCGAUCGAAGACUCGGCGGCGGCCAUCGUCGUCCUGUCGCCGAGAUAUGCCGAGUCAAGGUGGUGCCUUGAAGAGCUGGCUAAGAUAUGCGAGCGUAGCCGGAGACUGCGCCUGAUGAUUCUGCCUGUGUUUUACCAAGUAGACCCCUCCGACGUUCGACGGCAGAGGGGCCCAUUUGCAGAGCAUUUUAGAGCUCAUGAGCAAGUGUACGAAAACGCCGUCGUCUCUAGGUGGAGGAGCGCCAUGGCGAAGGUCGGUGGUACAGCUGGGUAUAUUUUCAACGCCAGCAAAGAAGCAGAGUUGAUUCAAUUGUUAGUCAAAACGGUUUUGACUGAAAUACGCAAAACCCCUGUGGGUCUUGCUGAAUACACAGUGGGACUUGAUUCCAGAGUUGAAGACAUGAUGAGGUUGUUAGAUGUAAGAUCCAAGGGCAUUCGAGUUGUCGGAAUUCAUGGCAUGGGUGGUGUUGGCAAGACAACACUUGCCAAGGCUCUUUUUAAUAGACUUGUGGGUUAUUUUGAGUGCCACAGUUUCAUCUCAAAUGUUAGAGAAAUUUCAGCAGGGCAUGAGGGUUUAGUAUCACUUCAAAACAAGCUUAUUGGUAGUCUUUCUUCUAAUACCAUGUCUGCAAAUGAACUUAAUACUGGUAUUUCUGCAAUCAAAGCAAUUGUAUACGAGAAGCGAGUUCUUAUUGUCUUGGAUGAUGUUGAUAAUGUAAACCAACUAAAUGCUUUAGUUGGCAGCAGACAAUGGUUUUAUGAAGGAAGCUGAAUUAUUGUUACCACCAGAGAUAGAGAAGUCUUACCCAGUCAUCUUGUGAACGAGUUGUAUGAGGUCAGGGAGUUGCAAUUCCCUCAGGCACUUCAACUUUUUAGUUACCAUGCACUGAGAAGAGAAAAACCCACGGAUACUUUCUUAACUCUCUCUCAGCAAAUUGUGUCUCUCACAAGUGGGCUACCAUUGGCUCUUGAAAUAUUUGGUUCUUACCUUUUUGAUAAGAGGAGAAUAGAGGAAUGGAGAGAUGCUCUGCAGAAACUGAAACAGAUUCGUCCGCGCAAUCUUCAGGAUGUGUUAAAGAUAAGUUAUGAUGCGCUAGAUGAGCAAGAGAAGUGCAUCUUUCUAGACAUUGCAUGUUUAUUUGUAACAAUGAAUAUGAGGAGAGAAGAUGCAAUUGACAUAUUAAAAGGUUGUGGUUUUGAUGGUGAGAUAGCAAUUGCUGACCUCGUAGCAAAAUCUCUCAUUAAAGUUUAUGGAGACAGUAUCUUGUGGAUGCACGAUCAAGUUAAAGACAUGGGAAGACAAAUCGUUACGGAGGAAAACGUUGUAGAUCUUGGCAUGCGUAGUAGACUUUGGGAUCGUGAUGACAUAUUGAAUGUCUUCAAGGAUGAUAAGGGAACAAGAAGUAUACAGGGGAUAGUACUAGACUUUGAAUCAACAAAAAGGCUGGUGAAGGAUCCAAGUGGUGACAGAAUUUCUUGGGAUAACUUUCGAAGAUACCCAACUUUUACCUCUGCAGUUACAUACCUAAAAGAAAGAUACAAAACAUAUCUUCAAACGAAAGCAGAGAAAGAGAGACAGGUUACAAUUUGCACUAAACCCCUAAGAAAAAUGGUCAAUCUUAGACUGCUUCAAAUCAAUUAUCUGAAUUUGGAAGGCCGCUUCAAGUUUCUUCCCGCAGAGUUGAAGUGGUUACAGUGGAAAGGUUGUCCUCUGAAUUCUCUUCCUUCGGAUUUUCCCCCUCGCCAACUUGCUGUCCUUGAUCUUUCACGCAGCAAAAUCGAACGUUUGUGGCAUGGGCGCCGUAACAAGGUGGCUGAGAAAUUGAUGCUUUUGAAUCUAUAUGGUUGCUUUAACCUAACCACCAUUCCUGAUUUAUCUGGGAAUCAGGCCUUGGAAAAGCUUAAUCUUGAGCGUUGCAGUAAACUGACUAAACUUCAUGCCUCGAUUGGGAAUUUGCAUACAUUGAUCCACUUGAACCUUCGAGACUGUGAAAACCUCGUUGAACUUCCAAAUGAUGUCUCCGGCCUGACAAAACUUGAGAACCUGAUCCUCUCUGGUUGCUUACAACUGAAAGAACUGCCAAGCAACAUGGACAGCAUGGUAUCAUUAAAAUAUCUUCUCCUUGAUGGCACUGCUGUAAAAAGUCUUCCAGAAUCUAUUUUCCGGUUUUCAAAACUCGAAAAGCUCAGCUUGAACCGGUGCAAACAUUUGAAAGGGCUACCUGAGUUGAUAGGAAAGUUGCAUUCUCUGAAAGAAAUCUCCCUCAACGAUUCUGCUUUAGAAAAACUACCUGUUUCCUUUGGAUAUUUGGCAAACCUUGAGAAACUAAGUUUGCUCUGGUGUAAAUCACUGACAACUAUUCCUGAUUCCAUUGGCAACCUCAGUUCGUUAAUGGAAUUUCAUACUUACGGUAGCGGAAUCAAAGAACUUCCUGUGUCCAUUGGUUCAUUAUCAAAUUUGAAGGAAUUAUCAACAGGACACGGUCAAAUUUUGAGCAGAUUGCCUGAUUCAAUUGGAGGUUUGAAUUCUCUAGUUGUGCUAAAAAUUGAUCAGACAUUAAUCACAGAUCUUCCACAUGAGAUUGGUGCCUUGAAGUCACUUGAGAAGCUUGAGAUGAGGAAAUGUGCAUUUCUUAGAUCGUUACCAGAAUCAAUUGGAAGCAUGAAGGCAUUGACUACAUUAGUCAUAACUGAAGCUGAUAUUACUGCAUUGCCAGAAUCGAUAGGGAUGUUGGAAAACCUUACAAUGUUACAGUUGAACAGAUGUAAACACCUCCGCAAGCUUCCAACUUCAAUAGGCCAAUUAAAGUCCUUGCACAGAUUGCAGAUGGUGGAAAAUGCUGUGACAGAACUACCCGAAAGCUUCGGAAUGCUUUCCAGUUUAAUGGUUUUAAAUAUGGGAAAGAAGUAUCAAAAGAGGGAAGAUACAGAAGAGAUUAAAUUUAUACUCCCCGCUUCUUUCUCAAAUCUAUCCUUGCUAUAUGAACUGCAUGCUGGUGCUUGUAAUAUAUCUGGUAAAAUUGCAGAUGAUUUCGAGAAGUUGUCACUGCUCGAAAUCUUGAAUCUAGGCCGUAAUAACUUUUACGGCCUUCCAGCCAGCCUGAGGGGCCUAUCUCUUCUCAGAAAGCUUAUAUUACCUCACUGUAAAAAGCUCAAGGCUUUGCCUCCGCUUCCCUCAAGUUUAGAAGAGGUGGAUGCUGCAAACUGCACCUCAUUAGAAAGUAUCUCUGAUAUUUCAAACCUGGAGAACUUGGCGAUGCUGAACCUUACAAGUUGUGAGAAAGUUGUGGACAUUCCAGGACUUGAAUGCUUGAAGUCCUUGGUAAGGUUGUAUGCAAGUGGUUGCACAGCUUGCUCAUCAGCUAUUAAGAAAAGACUUGCUAAGAGCUACAUGAGGAAAAUACGCAAUCUUAGCAUUCCCGGGAGCAAGAUACCAGACUGGUUUUCUCAAGAUGUGGUUACAUUCUCAGAAAGAAAAAACUGUGUUCUCAAAAGUGUGAUCAUAGGUGUUGUAGUCUCUCUCAACCAGCAAGUACCAGAUGACAUGAGAGACGAAGUCCCUGCAAUAGUAGACAUUCUAGCACAGAUCCUCAUACUGGAUUUUCCUACAUAUACUUCAGCUUUAUUCUUAUUGGGAGUGCCAAAUACAAAUGAAGAUCAAGUUCACUUGUGCCGAUACCCAAUUCACCAUCCCUUGGUUUCUCAGUUGAAAGAUAGUUAUAACAUACGUGUGAUACGGAGAGAGCCACCGAUGAUGAAAGGGGUUGAGCUGAAGAAGUGGGGGAUCCAUUUGGUCUAUGAAGGUGAUGAUGAGUAUGAGGGAGAUGAAGAAUCAUUAAAUGAAAGCCAGCAAUCCCUUUCAGAAAAGAUGGCAAGGUUCUUCAGCUCUUUUGAAGAAGGUGGCUGAACCUGUACUUUUGAGAAAGAUGACUGCACAUCUGAAUGAAUUUAGCUGUAGUGUUUCUCUCGUCUCUCUGUUAUCGACUGAUAAUUCCCCUAUCCACGUGUUUUAUUUAUCAAUUUUAGUUUCCCAUUUAAAGCCAAAUGACAUCGUUUUAAGCCAAUGCAACACAAGGAGCGUGCUGAAGAACAUGAACAUUCUCACAAUUGAUUAAAAGUGUUGUAAAUCAAUAAGAUUAAAGUGGAUGCCACCUAUGCUUUCCUCUAACAAUAUCUACCGGAUGACUCACCCCAUUAUGCUAUCAAACCUAACAUUUUGU
Non-coding RNA from Prunus mume (Japanese apricot), 4610 nucleotides. The record is from RefSeq and is a predicted model, not a curated record. NCBI's taxonomy places the organism in Eukaryota, Viridiplantae, Streptophyta, Magnoliopsida, Rosales, Rosaceae.